Long non-coding RNA from Lingula anatina, 443 nucleotides. Lineage: Eukaryota; Metazoa; Brachiopoda; Lingulata; Lingulida; Lingulidae. The record is from RefSeq and is a predicted model, not a curated record.
CUGACAUAAACACUGGUGGUACAGGAUCAGGCAUUGCUGGUGGUGGAUCAGGAUCCAUAAUCAAUGGUCAAAGUGGCUACUGUUUAUACAACGGAAUCCAGUACACACAGGGACAAACGUGGCAUGAUAAGUGCUUAUACUCUUGUACCCGUACAAACGCACUGACAGGAAACUACAAUUGUCAGACACUAUGUCCCCAAUGGCAGCUCCCAUCAGUCUGCUCCCUGAAAGCACCUGCCGGCAAGUGUUGUCCAAUCCCAUCCUGUCCAUCCUACAUAACCAUCACCUACCCCGGAGGGCUAACAGAGGCCACACUGCCAUAAUUACUUGACCAUUACAGUGAUAAACAGGACUGACCAAUGGACAUUGUUAUAUUGACCUCAGACUAGUGAUAUUUAUAGGACAUAUUUACAAAGAUAUCUUUGCGCAGAGAGAAAAAAAUU